AUGAGAUGUUGUUCGUUUGCUUA
RNAcentral lists this non-coding RNA (23 nucleotides) under Arabidopsis thaliana (thale cress). The record is from RNAcentral. Lineage: Eukaryota; Viridiplantae; Streptophyta; Magnoliopsida; Brassicales; Brassicaceae.